UACACUCCUGCGGGAGGCAGCAGUGGGGAAUAUUGGACAAUGGGCGCAAGCCUGAUCCAGCCAUGCCGCGUGAGUGAUGAAGGCCCUAGGGUUGUAAAGCUCUUUCACCGGUGAAGAUAAUGACGGUAACCGGAGAAGAAGCCCCGGCUAACUUCGUGCCAGCAGCCGCGGUAAUACGAAGGGGGCUAGCGUUGUUCGGAUUUACUGGGCGUAAAGCGCACGUAGGCGGACUAUUAAGUCAGGGGUGAAAUCCCGGGGCUCAACCCCGAAACUGCCUUUGAUACUGGUAGUCUUGAGUUCGAGAGAGGUGAGUGGAAUUCCGAGUGCAGAGGUGAAAUUCGUAGAUAUUCGGAGGAACACCAGUGGCGAAGGCGGCUCACUGGCUCGAUACUGACGCUGAGGUGCGAAAGCGUGGGGAGCAAACAGGAUUAGAAACCCGUGUAGUCCCAUGA
RNAcentral lists this ribosomal RNA (452 nucleotides) under uncultured organism. RNAcentral's name for it is "partial 16S ribosomal RNA". It matches the Rfam family "Bacterial small subunit ribosomal RNA", at positions 332 to 800 of the family's 1533-position model. The record is from RNAcentral.